Molecule: ribosomal RNA, 112 nt
Filed under: Candidatus Carsonella ruddii PV
Lineage: Bacteria; Pseudomonadati; Pseudomonadota; Gammaproteobacteria; Oceanospirillales; Halomonadaceae
Source: RNAcentral
UGUCUAAUUAUUAUAGCUGAUAUAAAACAAUGAAAACAUUCCGAACUCAUUUUGAUAAAAUAUCAAGCGCUUAUGGUAGCAUUUAAUGUGAGAGUAAGAAAUAAUUAGACAA